Molecule: small nucleolar RNA, 87 nt
Rfam family: Small nucleolar RNA snR79
UUUGAUGAUGAUACAAAUUAUGAUGCUUGAAGAGUUUUCUCACUGUGAGCACAAUGAUUUCUCAAUAGACUACAACGGUAUCUGAAA